Non-coding RNA from Ictidomys tridecemlineatus (thirteen-lined ground squirrel), 6398 nucleotides. Lineage: Eukaryota; Metazoa; Chordata; Mammalia; Rodentia; Sciuridae. The record is from RefSeq and is a predicted model, not a curated record.
GCCGCUGCCGGAGCCACGCCCUUCCCGCUGCCAUCACCAGGCCGUGCCCCUUCCACAUCUUUGACGUUGACCCUCGUAGAGUGACCCCUGCGACUCCAGCAGGCACACCGAGAUGAUCCCAGAUGGCCUCCCUCCUGGACCCUCCUUAAUGCCACCCAACGGCCAAGUCCUUUGGACCACGGGAGGAGGGCGUGGACCCCGGGUGAGAAACAGCUGGCUGUGUCCUGCAGUCCUGGGGGGAGCCAGGGCCUCCUGUGUGCUGGGCCAGUUCUCCGCCUGGGACCGCCAGCCCGUCCUUUUCACUUUGAAACAGGGGUCAGCUAGUUGUGCAGGCUGGCCUCGAAUACAGUCCCCUGCGUCAGUCUUCUGAGUCCUUCUUUUUUCCUGGGUGACAUGAGUGUCCCCACUUACACAUUCUUCCCUAACAUCCUUGUUGAGGGCUGCGUAUGUUGCAUGCGUCUGUUUCUUCUCCCGUUGACAAGCAUUUACCGAUGGCUUCCUGUGUGCCGGGCACCAGGCUGGGUGGAGGGUACACACUGAGUGGGGCCACGCAGCUCCUCCCUCCCGGAGCUUGCUGCCCUCCAGGGGCCAAACAGAAGGCCCCCAGGGAAAGCACAGGCUCUAGGGCAGGGGUCCGCACAGCCAGAGAAGGCCACAGCUGAACUGCGCAGAGCGGGGAGGCUGGCGCUGACCGGGAAGGACGCGGCUCCGGGGAAGCCUCAAGUUCCGUGGCUCCUGGCAGAAGGUGGAGGCAAGAAUUCUCCUCUUGAUCCGUUAAGACAGCAUUGGAAAGUCAGGAAGCUCUUGAGGCCGCUGUGAUAGGGAGGCCGAGGAAGAGCAGCUCAGCUCGCGCCUGCGGAGCCCCUGCGCGUGCUGCUAGGAAGGUCCAGUGGACGGCCACUCUGGAGAGACAGGUCCUUCCUGAGGUGCAGCGCGGAGUCACUGUGUGGCUGUGGCCCAGCCGCGCCCCGGCUCAGCAUCUGCCUGAGGAACUGCAGUGCCCUGCGUGGGGAAUGGAGGGACAAGAGUGUUUCUUCCCACAGGACACAGAGAGCCACAGCGAGCCGGCGCACGAGGUGGCUGUGUGUUUGUCUGUCUGUCUGUUUGAGGGUCCUGCUCCGUUGCCCAGGCCGGCUUUGAACUCGGUCCCCCUAGGCAGCUUGGCACUACAGGCCGGCCACCGCCCUGGGCUGGAAACCACUCCUUUUGUACAGGGAUAGUCGCAGAGGCGGUCAGCGGCCGAGGCCUCUCCGGAUGCUCCUGGGCUCAGGGCCGUCCUGUUUGCUGAGCGGUUUGCCUCCCUGCUCCCUCUGUGAGUGCUCAGUAAACACGGUUCACAGGCAGCAGGUCCCGGUGGGGGGCAGGUGGGCUUCCAGCUGGGGGGACCUCCCUGGGGGAGGAGCGUCCCUGUCCCUCCCGGGCCUGGCCCACCGGGCUCACCCAGCUGCCAACCAUCAAAACACAGAGACAUCCCUCAAAAUGGCUUCUGGGGCCUGGGUCGCUAGUGCUCCGCAGGCACGCGCCCUGGCUCCCACCCCAGGCCCGCCCGCGCCGGCUUCCUGGGCUGGGAACCUCGGGUGCAGCCCACCCACCGUGUGUGUGUGUGGGGGGGGCUUCAGCGUCAGCCCCUGCCGGCGGCGGGGUGGUGGCCUGGGGAGGCCGUGGGCGCACGGAGAGCUCCGUCUUCCCACCAGGUGUCAGCAGGCUCCCUCCUCAGCAUCCCGCCUCCCGCCUCCGCCCCUCCCCGCGGCUCUCGGGUCCCAGACCUCCGCCCGCCACAGCCAGGCACUUCCCCCCCAGAGGCCCUUCAUGUCCCCCAGAGGCAGGGUCAGCGGGCUGUUCCACCUGGUGUCCACUGUCCCCGGAGCCUGGGGGAUGGGGGAAGAAAGCCAAGGGAGGGAGCGCACAGACCCCCUUUGGUGGCUGAGAAGGACGUGCCAGGAACCACAGACCUGGGUGCUGAGAGCCGCUGUAGGGAAGAGUCCUUUUGUCACUUGGUCAGCCCCCACCCCCACCCCCUGAAGCCAGCACUCGGGCCUCAGCAGCGGCCUCCUCCUUCCGGCCCAAGGAGAUCCCGGCGGGGAGAAGGAAUUUUAACUUGGUCCAGGAGACAGACAGGGCAAGUGACUUGUCCAAGGUCACACAGCUUACAAAUAGCAGAACCAGGAUCCAAGGACCGAUGUCCCGGCUCUGAGUCUGUGAUUCAAACUGGACUAAGUUCAAGGUGACCGAAAAGAUAACGCGGACUCUGAGCAGCCAUGAGGAGGCCAGCCCCGGACCGAUGAGCGGAGGUGGCCCAGUGGUGAGCGCUGCCCAGCGGGACCUGCCUUCGCUCCCCGCGGCGGCCAGACCCGUGGGAGCAGACACCUAUGGAAACUGCUAGAAUCAAGUGGAGACGCUGCUGGGGAUGCAGUUUCCUGGCCUCGGUGACGUCCUGGACGUUGCAGAAACCAGCCGUGGUUUCAGAGCCACGACCUGCUACAGGGGGCUCAGCCGGGGAUCAGUGGACUCCGUGGCUCCGGGCCUGAGGUGAGACGGCACCCACAGUCUCCAGAAGCCACACAGAGGAGAGCGGCCAGCUCAGGGCAGUGGGGCAGCCCAGAGAGAAGCUGGGGACCAGACCCAGUCCCGGAGGGCACACCUGCCCCGCCCUUCCUCCAGCCGCGCCGCCCGCCCGGGCUCCCACGGCCUCCAGGAGCCCACUCAGCCACGCGUGGCCAACCCGCUGCUGAGGUGGAGCCUCCGGAUGUGACUCCUCGGUGCCCACCUCCUCCCCCCCCAGCAGCCCCGGAGCUCCUGCCAGGAGCCAGUGCGCGCCCACCUUCCCGCAGCACCACGGGCACCCGCGGUGGCAUGGCAGGCCGGGUUUCCUCAGUGUCCACGGGCACUGCAGCAAGGCUGCCUCAGGAGGGCGGCUGUGGGCCCCGGCCACGCGGAGGUCUGCUCAGCCCAGCGCCCUCCCCGAUGGUCACAGCUCCGCUGUCCCCUGUCCUUCUUCCGCGUGUUGCUGGGGCAGAACCCAGCGCCCUGCCCAUGCCGGGCACACCCCUAGCCCCAGGCCAGGUGGCUCAUGGGAGGGUCCCUGGGGACCACUGGGGGACAUCUGCGGACAUUGCGGCUGUCAGAACUGGACGCAGGCAGGAUGUGCCACAAGCACCCAUCUAGUGGGCAGAGGCCCGGGUAGUGAUCAAGAGCCUGGAGUGUACAGGGGGUCCCCACCACAGUGAAGGACCCGCUCUCAGAUGUCCACUGUGCCGAGGCUGAGAAACCCCAACCUGGAUGUCACAUAAGGCAGAGGGACUCGGGAAGACCAAUGGCCGCUCCUCCUGGUGUCCCACCACAGCUCCCCUGGGGCCAUCUGAGUGGGGUGGACUCGACUGCACCGCUCAGACCCAUGCCUUGCUGGGCACCUGACCCCCACGUGGGCAAGACACAACUUGCUGCAGGGAGACAGUCGCCACUUGAGAGGGUGUGUCCCCGUGAUCCGUGCUCAGUCCCUCCUGUGCCUUAGUUCAUCAGUCCUCACAGCCACCCUGAGGGAGCAGGAUGCUCUUCGCGCCCAUUUCACUGGUGAGAAAACCAGCCUCCCAGCAGGAGCGUCCACGUGGAGCCCAAAGACAAGCCCAGUUCUCUGCAGGGCAGAGCUCACGCCACUGUCACUUUACCCCAGUGAGUCUCCGCUGGGGCCGCUGUGCCCUCUGUUCCCCGACGGGACGGGCAGCUGGCGUGGGUGCCACACUGUAGGGUGCAUGGGACGGAUGGUGGGUGCUGCCGGCCUGGAGGGGUGGAGGCCAGGGACACUGCUCAGCACCCUGCGGUGCCAGAACACCGCCCCAGAGAGUAACUUGGCCCCAGGGCCCCCAGGGCUGAGGGAGGGAGUCGCCUGGGAAGCCAUUAUCUCAAGAUCUACCGCCUCGCCCUCUGGACGGGAAGGAAAGGGCCCCUGUGGGGGGCUUGAAGGGGCUUCCUGCCGGGUUCCUCACCCGCCCACAGGUCAGGAGGAGGCCAGCUGGGUCCUGCCAGGACCUGACCCAGCACCCUGAACAGUCCCAGCCUCAUCACUGUCCCCAACCGUGAAUUCUGGGGCACCGUGAGCAGACAGCCAGCUUCCCUGGAGAGGAGGUGGCCCGGGAGAAGGGGGAGUGCCUGCAAAAGCAGGGGACACAGGCUCCUGUGACAGAAAAGGACCUCAGCACCUGGGGAUUGGGUAGAAGCAGGGAGGAUGCGGCCAUCUCCAGGGGAGAGGUCCCCAGAGGCCCUUCUGACCAAGCCUGGCUCCCCGGCGCUCCUCAGGGUCCCCUCUGCCCGGGUCCCACCCACCUCGGGAGACCCAGGGCUCGAACGCGAGGCUGAAGCCGGAUCUGGGGCAGCCGCGGGCCGGCUGGACGCCCCGACCUGGGGACACCACCCUGACCGCUCCCUGGACGGCAAACUGAGCGGGGGCGGGGCGGGGGGGGUGUCGUGCUCGGUCCUCCCUUGCCCAGGCUGGGGGAAGGGGCGCUCUCGAGCCAGGGGACCCGGUGGCAGGUGGGGGCGGGGAGACAAAGCCGCCCGGGGCGCUGUUCCGAGCGGCCUCGCUGUCUCCGGCGGAAUUAGACCAAAUUGCCGCAGCGGCCCUGAGGCUCGGCGCCCGCAUUGUCUGGGAUGGAGCUGGGCAGCGCGGGAGGGGCCUCCUGCCGGGAGCCCGGGGAGCCAGGCGGAGGCGGCCGCGCAGCCCGCCCACCGCUGGCCGCUGUCGGAUCUGGGCUCAGGGGCCAGGGCGGUGGGGAGGGAGGACGCGUGGGCAGGGGGCCAUCGGGGGCCAGCGGAAAGGGCAGAGCUCUGUCUCCCCAGGCGCCCCCCGCCCCCAGGCCUGGUUAGGAUGAUGGGGAGCCGCGCACACGCCCGCGGCCAGGGUCAGCCCCUGGGUCUCUGUCUUCACUGCCCCUGGGGUCCACUCCCAGAGGAGGGACUGUGGGGGCCCUCCCCGCCAGGCUGGUCCCAGGACCCUCGCUGGGGAUUCCCCCAUCCCGGGUGCCCUCCCUCCGCCCCUCUCUGGCCCACCCCAGCUCUGGAGGCCCCUGCUCCCCAGUCCCAGAGUCUCCCUCCCUUGUCCACUCCCUCCCCUCGCUGACCCUCCCAGGGACUCAUCCCUGGUCCGAAGCCCGCUGCCCCUAGAGUUCCCUCCUGGGGGCUUCUCCAGGUCCUCCCCACCUGCGCCCCUCCCCUGGGCUGGACCUGCUGGGGAGGCGCGGAUUCUCCCCAUCUAGGUUUUGGGGUGUCCUGGGGAGAAGGGCUACUCUCCAUCCCUGCUUCUCAGGGUCAGAGGGCAGGGUCACAGCGCUGGGGAGGGCGGGGUGGGUCUCAGGGUGAGAUGAGGCAGCGCACCCCGGGGUGCUGUGUCCCCCGCCCCAGUGUGAGCAGCCAUUGCUGCCAUGGCGACCCGCUCCGCUGCGGCUCCCACUCCCUCGGAGCUGAGCGCACGCGCACAGGCACUCACGCACUCAGGCACACACAGCCCCUGCACACAGCACCCUGCGGGAGACCAGGCUGCAGGGCAGAGAUGGCGUGCACAGGGCUGGGGUCUAGGUGAGAGGAGAGAUGGGAGAGGGGAGCGAGCCUCCUCAUCCCCUGCCCUUCCGCCUCUGUCUCCUGAGUAUUCCGGUUGGGAGUUCUGAGGGGGUCCUCAGGCAUCCAUUGGGUCCCUGGGGAGGCGGCUCACCCUGCAGGAGCUGGGGGAGGAACCCCAACCAGAGCCCAGAAAGCCCAAGUGGGGGGGCAGGGCUCCCACCGCCUUUGAUGCCACUGGCCACAGUGACAUGAAGACCUUCCCCACCUCCUGAAGGUCCCCACUUCCCGAAUGCACCACCCUGGGGUCCAGUCUUGAACACGCGGCCGCUGGCGCUCAGGUCAGACACCCACAGUCAGGGUCACCGGGAAGCACCCACAGGUGCCCACCCCAGGGCGCAUCCCUGCGGCUGUGCCUCGCGCUCUGCAGUCUGUGAGCAGCACCCACGCAGCAGCCCGGCCGCCUGCCUGAGUGCUUCCUUCCUCCUCCCUGACUGUCCACCCCUGACAGUCCCUUCCCUGAGUCCCUGGCCCUGGGCCCCGGGGACACCGGAGCUUCAGAGCAUCAGGUGAAGGUCAGGCAGACAGAGCUUGGAGGGGGGAGGUGUUUGCCAGGAACCAGGGUGUCAGCAGCCCCAGGAGCAGGAGAGGCAGGGCCAGCCGCCAGCCCAGGGGAGGAGCCCUCUCACUUCACUGGGGCAUUUCCUGGUUGCUAAACUGCAGAACUGGUGGUGGGCUUGGGCUUGUGUUUGUGUUUGUUUUUGUUUUUAAUAUCUCUAUUUAAGGCUGGGACUGUGGCUCAGUGGUAGAGCGCUCACCUAGCACCAGCGGGACCUGGGUUCGAUCCUCAG